CAAAGGCUUGGUCCUGGCUUUUCUGUCAAUUCUAGCUAGAUUUACACAUGCAAGUAUCCGCGUACCCGUGAGGAUGCCCUACAGUCCCCCGCCCGGAGACAAGGAGCUGGUAUAAGGCGCAAUCAUUUUAGCCCACGACACCUUGCUUAGCCACACCCCCAAGGGAAUUCAGCAGUGAUAAACAUUAAGCUAUAAGUGAAAACUUGACUUAGUCAAAGCUAAGAGAGCCGGUAAAACUCGUGCCAGCAACCGCGGUUAUACGAGAGGCCCAAGUUGACAGCCAUCGGCAUAAAGCGUGGUUAGGAGAAUCAUUAACCUAAAGCCAAACACUCUCAGAACUGAUAUACGUACCCGAGAGCUAGAGGCCCCCCCACGAAAGUGGCUUUAAACCAUUCUGACUCCACGAAAGCUGAGAAACAAACUGGGAUUAGAUACCCCACUAUGCUCAGCCCUAAACUUUAAUAGUACUACUAUCAACUAUUCGCCUGGGAACUACGAGCGCUAGCUUAAAACCCAAAGGACUUGGCGGUGCUUUAGAUCCCCCUAGAGGAGCCUGUUCUAGAACCGAUAACCCCCGUUUAACCUCACCCCCUCUUGCUCUUUCCGCUUAUAUACCGCCGUCGUCAGCUUACCCUGUGAGGGACUAAUAGUGAGCAAAAUCAGUACAACUCAAAACGCCAGGUCGAGGUGUAGCAUAUGAGGGGGGAAGAAAUGGGCUACAUUUUCUGAGACAGAAAAUACGGAUUAUGUAGUGAAAAACACAUUAUGAAGGAGGAUUUAGUAGUAAGCAAAAAAUAGAGUGUUUUGCUGAAACCGGCCCUGAAGCGCGCACACACCGCCCGUCACUCUCCCCAAAUAUAGGCCUUACAAUAAAUAAAAAGAUACUCAAAAGAAGGGGAGGCAAGUCGUAACAUGGUAAGUGUACCGGAAGGUGCACUUGGAUACAUAU
RNAcentral lists this non-coding RNA (949 nucleotides) under Glossolepis incisus (red rainbowfish). Its description in RNAcentral is "12S ribosomal RNA". It matches the Rfam family "Bacterial small subunit ribosomal RNA". The record is from RNAcentral. Lineage: Eukaryota; Metazoa; Chordata; Actinopteri; Atheriniformes; Melanotaeniidae.